CAGCUAAGGUCCCAAAGUUUAUAUUAAGUGGGAAACGAAGUGGGAAGGCUUAGACAGCUAGGAUGUUGGCUUAGAAGCAGCCAUCAUUUAAAGAAAGCGUAAUAGCUCACUAGUCGAGUCGGCCUGCGCGGAAGAUGUAACGGGGCUCAAAUAUAGCACCGAAGCUGCGGCAUCAGUGGAAACACUGUUGGGUAGGGGAGCGUCGUGUAAGCGGAAGAAGGUGGUUCGAGAGGGCUGCUGGACGUAUCACGAGUGCGAAUGCUGACAUAAGUAACGAUAAAACGGGUGAAAAACCCGUUCGCCGGAAGACCAAGGGUUCCUGUCCAACGUUAAUCGGGGCAGGGUGAGUCGGCCCCUAAGGCGAGGCUGAAGAGCGUAGUCGAUGGGAAACGGGUUAAUAUUCCCGUACUUGUUAUAAUUGCGAUGUGGGGACGGAGUAGGUUAGGUUAUCGACCUGUUGGAAAUGGUCGUUUAAGUUGGUAGGUGGAGCGUUUAGGCAAAUCCGG
RNAcentral lists this ribosomal RNA (506 nucleotides) under Basfia succiniciproducens. Its description in RNAcentral is "bacterial LSU rRNA". It matches the Rfam family "Bacterial large subunit ribosomal RNA", at positions 1036 to 1545 of the family's 2925-position model. Lineage: Bacteria; Pseudomonadati; Pseudomonadota; Gammaproteobacteria; Pasteurellales; Pasteurellaceae. The record is from RNAcentral.